GGGAAUGUGACUCAAUGGUGGAGUGCUUGCCUAGCACGCAAGAAACCCUGGGUUCAAUUCCCAGUACCA
RNAcentral lists this transfer RNA (69 nucleotides) under Dipodomys ordii (Ord's kangaroo rat). It matches the Rfam family "tRNA". From Rfam's summary of the family: Transfer RNA (tRNA) molecules are approximately 80 nucleotides in length. Their secondary structure includes four short double-helical elements and three loops (D, anti-codon, and T loops). Further hydrogen bonds mediate the characteristic L-shaped molecular structure. tRNAs have two regions of fundamental functional importance: the anti-codon, which is responsible for specific mRNA codon recognition, and the 3' end, to which the tRNAs corresponding amino acid is attached (by aminoacyl-tRNA synthetases). tRNAs cope with the degeneracy of the genetic code in two manners: having more than one tRNA (with a specific anti-codon) for a particular amino acid; and 'wobble' base-pairing, i.e. permitting non-standard base-pairing at the 3rd anti-codon position. Lineage: Eukaryota; Metazoa; Chordata; Mammalia; Rodentia; Heteromyidae. The record is from Rfam by way of RNAcentral.